This is a long non-coding RNA of Tympanuchus pallidicinctus (lesser prairie-chicken), 637 nucleotides long. RefSeq lists it as uncharacterized. The record is from RefSeq and is a predicted model, not a curated record. Lineage: Eukaryota; Metazoa; Chordata; Aves; Galliformes; Phasianidae. The transcript is spliced from 3 exons.
GGGGGCGGUUUGGGCUGCGUGUGUUCGGCCGCGGCGCGGUACCGAGCCGGGACCAGGAUCGGCCCCGCUCCGCGACCUGCAGCGAGCAGCCCGAAAGGCACAGGGAGCGAGGGCCGGGAGCUGGAUGGCGCUGUGGAAGCCUGAGGCGAGGGCUGAGCCUGCCCCUCCCUUGGCCGCCUUCGGCGAGCUUCGGCUCGGCUCUCCGCGUUGGGAGAAGCGAUGAGUCAGGUUUUCUCGGCUCCAUGCUAAUGCACGGCGAUGGAGGGUGUCAUCAGCAGAGCGGCAGGGCCGCGAUCUGCGGCGCAAGGCAGCCGGGCUACGCGCCUCCUCUGCGCCUCGGAGCAGCGCUGAGGUUCCUGGUCCGCGUGCUCUUCCAGCCCCAGCCGUGUGCGUGCAGGCUUUGGCGUCUGUGUGUGAAACGCCGCGUGGCGUCAUUCUGAUGUGGAAAGAUUACGAUGUGAAUCCCAUGAGCAAAUGAACCCAGGAUUUGAGGUGUGCACAACAACUGCUGACUCAUCAGGAUUUUGUCACUUCCCUGAAGAUGUUGCUGGCUGUUGGCUUCAGAUCUCAGGUUGUCAGUGCAAGCAGGGUUUUCUCAGAAGGUACCCACAAGAAGCAAUUAGAUGUGUGAGCAAAG